UGUGGGAGCUGGCUUGCCUGCGAUAGCGGAGUGUCAGUCAGCCAGUGUUUGGCUGAUACACCGCUAUCGCAGGCAAGCCAGCUCCCACA
RNAcentral lists this non-coding RNA (89 nucleotides) under Pseudomonas tolaasii NCPPB 2192. The record is from RNAcentral. Lineage: Bacteria; Pseudomonadati; Pseudomonadota; Gammaproteobacteria; Pseudomonadales; Pseudomonadaceae.